UCCCGCCUGCGAGUGUGAGCUCGCGUCUGGUGCGGAGCCGCGCUGCGCGGCAGGGGUGCGGCCGGGUCUUGCCCCAGAGUCCCGAGCUGGGAGGGAAGGCCGGCCGUGCCCGGGACGCCCCCUGCCGUCUGUCCGGAGACCCUGCCGCGGGCUGUGCCUGCCAGGGUGUGUUUACGUUCCGCCGGGCAACGCUUCCCCCGGAGGCCCUCUGGUGGAGACAGAUUCCAUCUCACCAUGAACCACUGACAUCAAACUCGUGAAGCAUUUCCAUUUGGGGUUGAAUCGUUGGAAGGACUUCAUGUUCAGAUAGGGUUUGGAGAUGGGGUGAAUUAUUUCCAUUUUGGCCCUGAGUAGCUUGUACUGGACCAACUAACCAGUGACAGCAGUGAAACUAAAGUACACAAGCAACUGCACAGAGGCACUGAGGUGUAGCCUGUUCAGAUGACGUGAU
Molecule: long non-coding RNA, 451 nt
Organism: Zalophus californianus (California sea lion)
Lineage: Eukaryota; Metazoa; Chordata; Mammalia; Carnivora; Otariidae
Exons: 3
Source: RefSeq, a predicted model, not a curated record